CCGACACAGACGAUUAUCGAUUGCUGGAUGAACUUUUUAGGCUGGAUGCUUGCUGCAUUGAAGAUGUUGACUGGGAUAAUCUUCUUGGGCAUAGGCCUGGAGAUAUUACUCUGAAACGCUGGAGGCAGAUGGUAAAUCACAUUGGUAUCCAUGGA
Long non-coding RNA from Papaver somniferum (opium poppy), 155 nucleotides. RefSeq lists it as uncharacterized. The record is from RefSeq and is a predicted model, not a curated record. The transcript has 3 exons. Lineage: Eukaryota; Viridiplantae; Streptophyta; Magnoliopsida; Ranunculales; Papaveraceae.